ACAAGUACCGUGAGGGAAAGUUGCAAAGCACUUUGAAGAGAGAGUUAAAGAGGACGUGAAACCGGUAAGGUGGAAACGGAUAGAGUCGGCGUAUCAUUCAAUUAUUCAGUUACAUUAUUUUUAUGUUGUGACCUCUGAGCUCCAGAUUGGGACAGAGGGAAUCAGCAUAAUUUUUUGUGGUGCAUUUACUUGAUUGGUGCUUGGGGAUGUUUGAGGCAGAUUUGUUUCCGUCGUUUUGAGGCCAGCUUGCUGGUACCCAAACGGUGUUAGCAUUGUUUGUCUUGGGCAUUUGAGUAUGGCUCACGUGUAUUUAUUGGACAGAUCUGAGUGUAAGUUACGGUCGCAUGCGACACGUGCUUUUCAAUUAGUUCGGUCCAGUUAAUGCUCUCGUACUCGUUCCCCAUGUAAAAGCCGGUCAUCUAUCCGACCCGUCUUGAAACACGGACCAAGGAGUUUAUCGUGUGCGCAAGUUUUUGGGUGUUAAAAACUUAAAAGCGAAAUGAAAGUAAAUGACUCUUUAGAGUCUGAUGUGCGAUCUUGUAAAAAAGUGUAGCAUGGCCCCAUUCUAACUGUUUACAGUAGGGUGGCGGAAGAGCGUACGCGGUGAGACCCGAAAGAUGGUGAACUAUUCCUGAGCAGGACGAAGCCAGAGGAAACUCUGGUGGAAGUCCGAAGCGGUUCUGACGUGCAAAUCGAUCGUCUGACUUGGGUAUAGGGGCGAAAGACUAAUCGAACCAUCUAGUAGCUGGUUCCUUCCGA
This 759-nucleotide ribosomal RNA is filed under the name Meloidogyne incognita (southern root-knot nematode). RNAcentral describes it as "partial large subunit ribosomal RNA". It matches the Rfam family "Eukaryotic large subunit ribosomal RNA", at positions 344 to 964 of the family's 3401-position model. The record is from RNAcentral. Lineage: Eukaryota; Metazoa; Nematoda; Chromadorea; Rhabditida; Meloidogynidae.